AGGACGCUGGCGGCCUGCCUCCACCUUCAGUCGAGCGGACAGAUGGGAGCUUGCUCCCUGAAGUCAGCGGCGGACGGGUGAGUAACACGUGGGCAACCUGCCUGUAAGACUGGGAUAACUCCGGGAAACCGGGGCUAAUACCGGAUAAUUCUUUCCCUCACAUGAGGGAAAGCUGAAAGAUGGUUUCGGCUAUCACUUACAGAUGGGCCCGCGGCGCAUUAGCUAGUUGGUGAGGUAACGGCUCACCAAGGCAACGAUGCGUAGCCGACCUGAGAGGGUGAUCGGCCACACUGGGACUGAGACACGGCCCAGACUCCUACGGGAGGCAGCAGUAGGGAAUCUUCCGCAAUGGACGAAAGUCUGACGGAGCAACGCCGCGUGAGUGAUGAAGGUUUUCGGAUCGUAAAACUCUGUUGUUAGGGAAGAACAAGUACCGGAGUAACUGCCGGUACCUUGACAGUACCUAACCAGAAAGCCACGGCUACUACGUGCAAGCAGCGCGGUAAUACGUAGUGGCAUGCGUUGUCUGAAUUAUUGGGCGUAAGCGGCGCAAGCGGUUCUUAAGUCUGAUGUGAAGGCCCCCGCUCCACUGGGAGGUCAUUGACUGGGCACUUGAGUGCAAAAAAAAGGUGAUCCGGUAACGGUGAAAUGCGUAAGAGUGGGAGAACACAUGCGGAGGGCACUCUUUGUUCUGUACUGAGCCUGGGGCGAAGGGUGGAACAACAGAUUAUUUCCUGGAUAUCACCGUAACAUUGGUCUAUGUUAAGGUUUCCUUAUGUGUCCCACACAUAGACUCUCUGGGAGGCGCAAGUAAAACCAGUUCGGCCAAGUGGACUGU
Molecule: ribosomal RNA, 838 nt
Filed under: Bacillus sp. CESNVD 15
Lineage: Bacteria; Bacillati; Bacillota; Bacilli; Caryophanales; Bacillaceae
Description: bacterial SSU rRNA
Rfam family: Bacterial small subunit ribosomal RNA
Source: RNAcentral